Molecule: ribosomal RNA, 253 nt
Filed under: uncultured bacterium
Lineage: Bacteria
Description: partial 16S ribosomal RNA
Rfam family: Bacterial small subunit ribosomal RNA
Source: RNAcentral
UACGUAGGGUCCGAGCGUUGUCCGGAAUUAUUGGGCGUAAAGCGCUCGUAGGCGGUUUGUCGCGUCUGCUGUGAAAUCCCGAGGCUCAACCUCGGGCCUGCAGUGGGUACGGGCAGACUGGAGUGCGGUAGGGGAGAAUGGAAUUCCUGGUGUAGCGGUGGAAUGCGCAGAUAUCAGGAGGAACACCGAUGGCGAAGGCAGUUCUCUGGGCCGUAACUGACGCUGAGGAGCGAAAGCGUGGGGAGCGAACAGG